GUUCUCUCUCAAAUAUAACCUCAUUCUUCUAUGGAGCUUCAUCGCUUGUUCAGCGAGGAUAGCUUAUUCGACUCAACACAAUCUCAACCCUCCGACUGAACCACGUCUCACCGAACUCUUCCCCCACCUCUCGAUCAACAGCUCCUUCUCCGACUUAUUUGGUGGCUCGAACAUCCAACACACAAAUAACGGGUCAUAUGUGAAUCUCAUACUCAAUAAGAGAUCAGGUGCAGGGUUUAUGUCUCGAGAUCCGUACUACUACGGAUUCUUCAGUGCUGCCAUCAAGCUUCCAUCUGGUUACACUGCAGGAGUUGUCAUCGCAUUCUAUAUGUCCAAUGCGAAUGUGUUCCCGAACAACCACGAUGAGAUCGACUUUGAGCUAUUGGGGCACGAAAAGAGUAAGGAGUGGGCACUGCAGACUAAUGUCUAUGGCAACGGCAGUGUCAGUACAGGACGGGAGGAGAAGUUCAACCUGUGGUUCGAUCCCACAGAAGAGUUCCAUGAGUAUAGUAUCAUCUGGAACGAUCACCACAUCGUGUUCCUUGUGGAUAACAUCCCUGUCAGAGAGGUUUUCCACAGUGAGGCGAUGGCCGGAGCAUACCCUUCAAAGCCCAUGUCCUUGUACUCCACCAUCUGGGACGGGUCACAGUGGGCAACGCAUGGAGGAAAGAAGCCGGCCAACUAUAAGUUUGCGCCGUUUGUUGCAACCUUCAAAGAUAUGGAAAUGGCUGGAUGUGUGUCGAACCCGAAGGGAAAGUCUGCUCCCUGCUCUAAUGCUGGAGGACAAAAUGGCCACCUGAGCCUUGAUCCAGUUGAAGGGGGAGAGUUCAGCAAGCUAUCUCAGCAGCAACAGGCGGGGAUGGACUGGGUGAGAGGUAGAUUCAUGUUCUACUCUUAUUGCAAGGACCCUAAUAGAUUUCGGGUCAUGCCACCAGAAUGCAAGGCUAGCAAAUAAGUUCUUCCGAAAAAAUAGCUGGAACAAAAAUUUCAAUAUUAUACAUGACGGGUGAUCUGGCUUUAAGAGUAAUUGAGAAGGUUUAGAGAAUACACACGAACUUCAAAGAUUGACUGUGAUUUAUUAUGAGAAAUUGAGCAACUACCUAAUUUAUUAUACUAUUCUUCUACUUGAGUAAAACAGUGUUCUCCCAUGUGUUAUAUUGAUAAAUCUAAUGAAG
This 1175-nucleotide unclassified non-coding RNA is filed under the name Hevea brasiliensis (rubber tree). The record is from RNAcentral. Lineage: Eukaryota; Viridiplantae; Streptophyta; Magnoliopsida; Malpighiales; Euphorbiaceae.